UACGUAGGUGGCAAGCGUUGUCCGGAUUUACUGGGCGUAAAGGAUGCGUAGGCGGAUAUGCAAGUCAGAUGUGAAAACCCCGAGCUUAACUCGGGAACUGCAUUUGAAACUACAUAUCUAGAGUGCAGGAGAGGUAAGUGGAAUUCCUAGUGUAGCGGUGAAAUGCGUAGAGAUUAGGAAGAACACCAGUGGCGAAGGCGACUUACUGGACUGUAACUGACGCUGAGGCAUGAAAGCGUGGGGAGCAAACAGG
Molecule: ribosomal RNA, 253 nt
Filed under: uncultured Clostridium sp.
Lineage: Bacteria; Bacillati; Bacillota; Clostridia; Eubacteriales; Clostridiaceae
Description: partial 16S ribosomal RNA
Rfam family: Bacterial small subunit ribosomal RNA
Source: RNAcentral